Molecule: non-coding RNA, 29 nt
Filed under: Cricetulus griseus (Chinese hamster)
Lineage: Eukaryota; Metazoa; Chordata; Mammalia; Rodentia; Cricetidae
Source: RNAcentral
UCUCUCUGACAAACGGGAUGUAUCCUCAC